UUUUGGACAAUGGGCGCAAGCCUGAUCCAGCCAUGCCGCGUGAGUGAAGAAGGCCUUCGGGUUGUAAAGCUCUUUCGGCGGGGACGAAACGGUUCGUGCUAAUACCACGGACUACUGACGGUACCCGCAGAAGAAGCACCGGCUAACUACGUGCCAGCAGCCGCGGUAAUACGUAGGGUGCAGGCGUUAAUCGGAAUUACUGGGCGUAAAGCGUGCGCAGGCGGUUUGUUAAGACAGGUGUGAAAUCCCCGGGCUUAACCUGGGAAUUGCGCUUGUAACUGGUAGACUGGAGUGUGGCAGAGGGGGGUGGAAUUCCAAGUGUAGCAGUGAAAUGCGUAGAUAUUUGGAGGAACACCGAUGGCGAAGGCAGCCCCCUGGGCUAACACUGACGCUCAUGCACGAAA
This 404-nucleotide ribosomal RNA is filed under the name uncultured bacterium. RNAcentral's name for it is "bacterial SSU rRNA". It matches the Rfam family "Bacterial small subunit ribosomal RNA", at positions 362 to 758 of the family's 1533-position model. The record is from RNAcentral.